Molecule: non-coding RNA, 72 nt
Organism: Phrynosoma platyrhinos (Desert horned lizard)
Lineage: Eukaryota; Metazoa; Chordata; Lepidosauria; Squamata; Phrynosomatidae
Source: the annotation of a GenBank genome assembly
GCCAGUGUGGCACGGUGGUUUGAGUGUAGGACUACAGCUGUGGAGACCUGGGUUCAACUCCCAGCUCAGUCA